Long non-coding RNA from Salvelinus namaycush (lake trout), 857 nucleotides. RefSeq lists it as uncharacterized. Lineage: Eukaryota; Metazoa; Chordata; Actinopteri; Salmoniformes; Salmonidae. The record is from RefSeq and is a predicted model, not a curated record. The transcript is spliced from 3 exons.
CUUGGAUUUUGCUCAGACACGCACUGUCAACUGUGGGACCCUAUAUAGACAGGUUCAGCGCCCCUGGAGCACAUUUGGUGUUAAGUGCCUGUUAGGUGCCUUGCUCAAGGUCACAUUGACAGAUUUUUCAUCUUGUCUGCUACAGAUGAUCACUUCACACAAUCCAACUCCUAGCCUGACUGAACAUGAGAUGGAUGGGACACAUUAUCAUACCUUGGACACCUUCAGUUUGGUAUCCUCAGAGAUGGCAGAGAAGUCAGCUGUGUCACCGAAGGCACUGACCACACCCAUGUCCUUCAGAUGAUCUCCCAGGGAGUACGAGGUAGAGGUGGAGAACUUGGGCAUGAAGAUAUCCACAUUGCUGAAAGAAAGAUUAUCAUACACUGAGUUUACAGUAUCAUCACAAAGAAACGUGCAAGAUCCUGCAGCUCGCAAAUAAAUGCCAGCCACAUUCAAAUGUUAAUCUGCAUUAAUAAUCUCUAUAUAUGAUACAAUCUGAUGCUUAUUGCAAACUUUGUCUUGUCAGCUGAUAAACAGACUACCCUGACCUUAUGUUAAGAAUAGAUACAAAUAAAUAAUAUAAAAAGAAUAGACAACAUUAUACUGAAAAGGUGCCCAAUACAAAAUUGUACAAAAAAUCUACUCUCCUUAACUCCUGAAGAGGAUGUAGUACUACACUGACCAUAUAUACCAUGAAUGAAUAGAGAACGUUACAUUAGAAAAGUAUAUGAAAUAAUGUGUUCUCACGUCCUGAACAGGUGCUCGUGCACGUGCUUCAGGUAGUCCUUGUUGAUGAAGGCCUCCACAUGCUCCAUCUUUCCAUCGUUGGGCAGGACCACCAUCAUUGAGGAGUUGCC